Molecule: unclassified non-coding RNA, 894 nt
Filed under: Hevea brasiliensis (rubber tree)
Lineage: Eukaryota; Viridiplantae; Streptophyta; Magnoliopsida; Malpighiales; Euphorbiaceae
Source: RNAcentral
UGCUACUGAAAUUUCAAAUUUUAAAGAUCGGUAUGUCCUUGGUGAGCAAUUGGGAUGGGGUCGAUUUGGUGUUAUAAGGGCAUGCUCAGAUAAGAUGACUGGUGAGCUUUUGGCUUGCAAAUCUAUUGCUAAAGAUAGAUUGGUCACACCUGAAGAUGUGCGGAGUGUGAAGCUUGAAAUUGAAAUAAUGACUAGGUUAUUUGGGCAUCCAAAUGUCGUAAAUCUUGAAGCAGUCUAUGAAGAGGAUAAAUAUGUGCAUCUGUUGAUGGAGUUAUGUGCAGGAGGAGAGCUUUUUCACCAGCUUGAGAAGUAUGGGAGGUUCUCAGAACAUGACGCUCAGGUUAUUUUUAGGCAUCUUAUGCAAGUGGUUCAAUACUGUCAUGAGAAUGGCAUUGUGCACAGAGAUUUGAAGCCAGAGAACGUUCUCUUAGCCACCAAGUCUUCAUCAUCACCAAUCAAAUUGGCAGACUUUGGUCUUGCAACUUACAUAAAACCAGGGUAUAAUUUGCAUGGAACGGUCGGAAGCCCAUUUUAUAUUGCCCCUGAGGUACUGGCUGGAGGAUAUAACCAGGCUGCUGAUGUGUGGAGUGCUGGUGUAAUUCUUUACAUUCUUCUUAGUGGGAUGCCUCCAUUCUGGGGAAAGACUAAAUCAAGGAUCUUUGAUGCAGUUAGGGCUGCUGAUCUUCGGUUCCCUCCUAAUCCUUGGGAUCAAAUAUCAGCGUCUGCAAAGGACUUGAUAACUGGAAUGCUUUGCGUGGAUCCUUCAAAGAGGCUCAGUACUGGUCAAGUUUUAGCUCACUCCUGGAUGCAGGAUUGUGCAGAGACAACUCAAUCUUACAAGCAGGACAACUUAGACUUUGAACAUCUAGAAACGGGAUAGAGAAAGAAUCACCA